This 337-nucleotide unclassified non-coding RNA is filed under the name Hevea brasiliensis (rubber tree). The record is from RNAcentral. Lineage: Eukaryota; Viridiplantae; Streptophyta; Magnoliopsida; Malpighiales; Euphorbiaceae.
AAAAAAAAAAGAACAGAAAGAAUCAAAUGUGCUAGGCAGGGUAGAUUAGGUUGUUUGAUCCAUAGCCAUGGACAUGAUGGUAAGGACAAAUGGACUCCCCGGUUGUUGUCUGUAAAGUUGAUGGGUCAUUAUGAGAAACUUGAAAGGAAGUCUGAUAAUGGAUUAUUGGGAUCUUUUCUCUUUUUGCAUCAAAAUACUAUUCUUUGUGUGGUCUUGUGUUCUGCAGUUUGACAUCAUGUUUCUUAGGUAAGUGGAUUGAAUUGUUCUUAAUAAAGAUUUGAUUAUUUCUUCAUUUGAAAGCUGAAAUGAAAAUUACUUGACAAAAUCAAGAGUGCUU